GACGUAUCGGAUACUGGGCGUAAGCGUGCGCAGGCGGUUUCGUAAGACAGAGGUGAAAUCCCCGGGCUCAACCUGGGAACUGCCUUUGUGACUGCGAAGCUAGAGUACGGCAGAGGGGGGUGGAAUUCCACGUGUAGCAGUGAAAUGCGUAGAGAUGUGGAGGAACACCGAUGGCGAAGGCAGCCCCCUGGGCCGAUACUGACGCUCAUGCACGAAAGCGUGGGUAGCAAACAGGAUUAGAUACCCUGGUAGUCCACGCCCUAAACGAUGUCAACUAGGUGUUGGGUGGGUAAAACCAUUUAGUACCGUAGCUAACGCGUGAAGUUGACCGCCUGGGGAGUACGGCCGCAAGGUUAAAACUCAAAGGAAUUGACGGGGACCCGCACAAGCGGUGGAUGAUGUGGAUUAAUUCGAUGCAACGCGAAAAACCUUACCUACCCUUGACAUGUUCAGAAUCCUGGAGAGAUUUGGGAGUGCCCGAAAGGGAGCUGGAACACAGGUGCUGCAUGGCUGUCGUCAGCUCGUGUCGUGAGAUGUUGGGUUAAGUCCCGCAACGAGCGCAACCCUUGUCGUUAAUUGCCAUCAUUUAGUUGGGCACUUUAACGAGACUGCCGGUGACAAACCGGAGGAAGGUGGGGAUGACGUCAAGUCCUCAUGGCCCUUAUGGGUAGGGCUUCACACGUCAUACAAUGGUCGGUACAGAGGGUUGCCAAGCCGCGAGGUGGAGCCAAUCCCAGAAAGCCGAUCGUAGUCCGGAUUGCAGGCUGCAACUCGCCUGCAUGAAGUCGGAAUCGCUAGUAAUCGCGGAUCAGCAUGUCGCGGUGAAUACGUUCCCGGGUCUUGUACACACCGCCCGUCACACCAUGGGAGCGGGUUCCGCCAGAAGUAGGUAGCCUAACCGCAAGGGGGGCGCUUACCACGGCGGGGUUCGUGACUGGGGUGAAGUCGUAACAAGGUACCCGU
This 963-nucleotide ribosomal RNA is filed under the name uncultured bacterium. RNAcentral describes it as "bacterial SSU rRNA". It matches the Rfam family "Bacterial small subunit ribosomal RNA", at positions 537 to 1503 of the family's 1533-position model. The record is from RNAcentral.